This is a long non-coding RNA of Neopsephotus bourkii (Bourke's parrot), 253 nucleotides long. RefSeq lists it as uncharacterized. NCBI's taxonomy places the organism in Eukaryota, Metazoa, Chordata, Aves, Psittaciformes, Psittacidae. The record is from RefSeq and is a predicted model, not a curated record. The transcript has 2 exons.
GGAGACGGAGAUGAGGUGGCUGACGAGGAGGUGGCCGACGAGGAGGUGGUGGUGGUGGUGGUGCAGGAGGCAGAAGUUGAGACCGGAGGCUGAGGGGGGACCAGCUGGGUCGGAGGGAUCAAAGCAGCCGAACAUUUCUCUGGAGGAGCUUGUUCAACUUGAGUUCCAGUGUCAGGAUCUAGUGUUGCAUAAAACCUGUAAUUUAAAACUCUGAAUACACUGCAUCUUUCUUUUUCCAGUUAUAGGAAACCAA